RNAcentral lists this transfer RNA (64 nucleotides) under Ptyas korros. RNAcentral describes it as "tRNA-Lys". Lineage: Eukaryota; Metazoa; Chordata; Lepidosauria; Squamata; Colubridae. The record is from RNAcentral.
CGCUGAGAAGCUUUCUAAAGCAUUAGCCUUUUAAGUUAAAGAAGAAACACCCUUUCCUCAGCGG